Molecule: ribosomal RNA, 368 nt
Filed under: uncultured organism
Description: bacterial SSU rRNA
Rfam family: Bacterial small subunit ribosomal RNA
Source: RNAcentral
CGGAGGGUGCAAGCGUUAUCCGGAUUUACUGGGUUUAAAGGGUGCGUAGGUGGGUCUGUAAGUCAGUGGUGAAAUCUCCGAGCUUAACUCGGAAACUGCCAUUGAUACUAUAGAUCUUGAAUUAUCUGGAGGUAAGCGGAAUAUGUCAUGUAGCGGUGAAAUGCUUAGAUAUGACAUAGAACACCAAUUGCGAAGGCAGCUUACUACGGAUAUAUUGACACUGAGGCACGAAAGCGUGGGGAUCAAACAGGAUUAGAUACCCUGGUAGUCCACGCCCUAAACGAUGGAUACUCGACAUCAGCGAUACACUGUUGGUGUCUGAGCGAAAGCAUUAAGUAUCCCACCUGGGAAGUACGAUCGCAAGAUUG